GCCUAGGUGGUGAAAUUGGUAGACACGCAAGAUUCAGGUUCUUGUGAUCGCAAGAUUGUGGGAGUUCGAGUCUCCCCCUGGGCACCA
This 87-nucleotide transfer RNA is filed under the name Fibrobacterota bacterium. RNAcentral describes it as "Fibrobacteres bacterium (aquatic metagenome) tRNA-Leu". It matches the Rfam family "tRNA". From Rfam's summary of the family: Transfer RNA (tRNA) molecules are approximately 80 nucleotides in length. Their secondary structure includes four short double-helical elements and three loops (D, anti-codon, and T loops). Further hydrogen bonds mediate the characteristic L-shaped molecular structure. tRNAs have two regions of fundamental functional importance: the anti-codon, which is responsible for specific mRNA codon recognition, and the 3' end, to which the tRNAs corresponding amino acid is attached (by aminoacyl-tRNA synthetases). tRNAs cope with the degeneracy of the genetic code in two manners: having more than one tRNA (with a specific anti-codon) for a particular amino acid; and 'wobble' base-pairing, i.e. permitting non-standard base-pairing at the 3rd anti-codon position. The record is from RNAcentral. Lineage: Bacteria; Pseudomonadati; Fibrobacterota.